UAGGUUGAUGCAAAAGUAAUUGGGAUUUUUGAAAGUAAUGUGGUAAAAAUAAAAUUACUUUUGCACCGAGUGUA
RNAcentral lists this microRNA precursor (74 nucleotides) under Chlorocebus sabaeus (green monkey). Its description in RNAcentral is "miRNA (ENSCSAG00000027766.1)". The record is from RNAcentral. Lineage: Eukaryota; Metazoa; Chordata; Mammalia; Primates; Cercopithecidae.